GACGAACGCUGGCGGCGUGCUUAACACAUGCCAGUCGAACGGUAAGGCCCUUCGGGGUACACGAGUGGCGAACGGGUGAGUAACACGUGGGUGACCUGCCCUGCACUUCGGGAUAAGCCUGGGAAACUGGGUCUAAUACCGGAUAGGACCACUGCCUGCAUGGGUGGUGGUGGAAAGCUUUUGUGGUGUGGGAUGGGCCCGCGGCCUAUCAGCUUGUUGGUGGGGUGAUGGCCUACCAAGGCGACGACGGGUAGCCGGCCUGAGAGGGUGACCGGCCACACUGGGACUGAGAUACGGCCCAGACUCCUACGGGAGGCAGCAGUGGGGAAUAUUGCACAAUGGGCGCAAGCCUGAUGCAGCGACGCCGCGUGAGGGAUGACGGCCUUCGGGUUGUAAACCUCUUUCAGCACCGACGAAGCGCAAGUGACGGUAGGUGCAGAAGAAGGACCGGCCAACUACGUGCCAGCAGCCGCAGUAA
RNAcentral lists this ribosomal RNA (478 nucleotides) under uncultured bacterium. RNAcentral's name for it is "partial 16S ribosomal RNA". It matches the Rfam family "Bacterial small subunit ribosomal RNA", at positions 28 to 523 of the family's 1533-position model. The record is from RNAcentral.